GAGCACGAGGUCGCGGGAUCGAAUCCCGGCCACGGCGGCCGCAUUUCGAUGGGGGCGAAAUGCGAAAACACCCGUGUGCUUAGAUUUAGGUGCACGUUAAAGAAGCCCAGGUGGUCAAAAUUUCCGGAGUCCUCCACUACGGCGUGCCUCAUAAUCAGAAAGUGGUUUUGGCACGUAAAACCCCAAAUAUUAUUAUUAUUAUUAUUG
Molecule: long non-coding RNA, 207 nt
Filed under: Dermacentor andersoni
Lineage: Eukaryota; Metazoa; Arthropoda; Arachnida; Ixodida; Ixodidae
Description: uncharacterized LOC126531045
Source: RNAcentral